RNAcentral lists this ribosomal RNA (269 nucleotides) under uncultured prokaryote. RNAcentral's name for it is "partial 16S ribosomal RNA". It matches the Rfam family "Bacterial small subunit ribosomal RNA", at positions 524 to 792 of the family's 1533-position model. The record is from RNAcentral.
AACGUAAGGGGCGAGCGUUGUCCGGAAUUACUGGGCGUAUAGAGCACGUAGGCGGCUGAGUAAGCGAUAGGUGAAAUCCCAUGGCUCAACCAUGGAAUGGCUUGUCGAACUGCUCAGCUUGAGCACGGGAGAGGGUAGUGGAAUUCCUGGUGUAGCGGUGGAAUGCGUAUAUAUCAGGAGGAACACCGGUGGCGAAGGCUGCUACCUGGAACGUUGCUGACGCUGAGGUGCGAAAGCUAGGGGAGCAAACAGGAUUAGAUACCCCCGUA